AGGACGAACGCUGGCGGCGUGCUUAACACAUGCAAGUCGAGCGGAAAGGCCCUUCGGGGUACUCGAGCGGCGAACGGGUGAGUAACACGUGAGUAACCUGCCCCUAGCUCUGGGAUAGCUCCGGGAAACCGGGAUUAAUACCAGAUACGACCACUUUAGACAUCUGUCGUGGUGGAAAGGAUUCCGGCUAGGGAUGGGCUCGCGGCCUAUCAGCUUGGUUGGUGGGGUAACGCCUACCGAGGCGACGACGGUA
RNAcentral lists this ribosomal RNA (253 nucleotides) under uncultured bacterium. RNAcentral's name for it is "partial small subunit ribosomal RNA". It matches the Rfam family "Bacterial small subunit ribosomal RNA", at positions 26 to 285 of the family's 1533-position model. The record is from RNAcentral.